Molecule: long non-coding RNA, 675 nt
Organism: Cyprinus carpio carpio
Lineage: Eukaryota; Metazoa; Chordata; Actinopteri; Cypriniformes; Cyprinidae
Source: Ensembl
GUCCUCACACCAUCGGUGCUCGGGCCCUAAUUAAAGCUGCAAGCAGCGAUGAACGGGCCCUCGCACCCGGGCUCACCACCACCGGGUGGCUUUUGUAAAACAGCGAACGGCGAGAAAUAUGCGUUUAAUGUGGUAAAUAUAAGAGGAAUAUGCCAAAGUCAUUUAUAUGUGCCAAUCUUCCUGCUGCUCGCUGGUGGCGCUAUGACUAUAACUGGAUUUUGUCAUGUAGAUUUCUUCAGUCCAGCACUUUUAUCAAGCAUAUGAAAUUUAGGGCAGAUUGAACAUGGAAUGUUUGAGUUAGUAUAAAGUAUGUUGUGUCCUAUUGCCAACAGGUGGCGCUAUGAUUAUAACUGAACAUUGGCCUUUAGAUAUCUUCAGGCCAUGACUCUUAUCAAAUAUUUGAAGUUUGGUGCAGAUUGGACAUUGCAUGUUUAAGUUAGUGUAAAACAAGCCAUUUUCUGUUGUCAGCAGGUGGCGCUAUGAUUAUAGUGGAAUAAUGACCUUCAGAUGUGUUCAGGCCAAGACUCUUUUCGAACAUGUGAAGUUUGGGGAAGAUCGGACAUCUUAUGCCUGAGUUACAACAACUUCUAUUCCCAUGGCGAGACAUCGAACUUUGUCACGGCGCCAUGGCCACACCCUUUAAUGAAACCUCAAGAUGUUCACAAUUUAACAUCG